CUCUCUUGAUCUCUCUCCUUGCCCUCCCCAGCUCUCUCUCUCUCUCUCUUGAUCACAAAAAAAUGCCAAAAUGCCUAGCAAAAAUGGAAGUGUUCUCCUGCACAAGGAAUUUUUUCUUUUUUGGGUGAGAUUUUAAUAACUUUAUUUGGGUAAGAUUUUAGAUCUUUCUUUUUUGUUGAAAGAUAUGAGAGUUUGGUAACUUUCUGUAUUUUUGUUUUUUGGGUGCGAUUUUGGUAGGAUUUAUUUUUACUUGAGAUAGUCUCCUCUCUCUCUCCUUGCCAAGGCCGCCAUUUCUUUUUGGCAUUUUUUUUACAGAUAGACACCUUAGUUUGUACCUCGAGAAAACCUUAAUUUUCACCUUCAUGUGAUCCCAGCUAUGGAUAUCUCCGAUCACACCAGACUUGAAGAAUUAGGAUCAAGAAUUGGGAGAUUCACAGCAUACCCAGCAUAUUUGGAAUGGGGAACUAUAUAGGGCAGUGAGAGUAGAGCCUCUGGUUUGAAGUGCGGUGAUGAAGGUAUUUGGUUUCAAAGCCAUGAAGUGAAAGGCAUGAGAGCAUCUUGCCCAUGUAUUUUCAAGGCCAAAAAAUAUUCUUGAUAGAAACAAAGAGAGAUGGAACAAUGUUGUAAUCAAAUACGAAUUUGAAUUUUAUGCAAGCAAUGCUAAUGGAGAUCUCACUCUCUCUUAAAUUUUAAAACAAUUGAUGUAUUUUAUCUUGUGCCUACAUGAAUAAAAUUUUUCUUAUUCAA
This is a long non-coding RNA of Amborella trichopoda, 747 nucleotides long. RefSeq lists it as uncharacterized. Lineage: Eukaryota; Viridiplantae; Streptophyta; Magnoliopsida; Amborellales; Amborellaceae. The record is from RefSeq and is a predicted model, not a curated record.